This 309-nucleotide ribosomal RNA is filed under the name uncultured bacterium. RNAcentral's name for it is "partial 16S ribosomal RNA". It matches the Rfam family "Bacterial small subunit ribosomal RNA", at positions 28 to 346 of the family's 1533-position model. The record is from RNAcentral.
GAUUAACGCUGGCGGCGUGCCUAACACAUGCAAGUCGAACGAGGUAGCAAUACCUAGUGGCAGACGGGUGAGUAACGCGUGGUCAACCUACCCUAGAGUGGGGGAGUAACUAGCCGAAGGUUAGCUAAUACCGCAUGAACGUAGCCGGGGCGAUCUCGGAAUGUUGAAAGGAGCAAUCCGCUCAAGGACGGGACCGCGUCCCAUUAGCUAGUUGGUGGGGUAACGGCCUACCAAGGCACCGANGGGUAGCUGGUUUGAGAGAGCGACCAGCCACACUGGGACUGAGAAACGGCCCAGACUCCUACGGGA